GACGAACGCUGGCGGCGUGCUUAACACAUGCAAGUCGAACGGAAAGGCCCUGCUUUCGUGGGGUGCUCGAGUGGCGAACGGGUGAGUAACACGUGAGUAACCUGCCCUGGACUUUGGGAUAACUUCAGGAAACUGGGGCUAAUGCCGGAUAGGAGCUCCUGAUGCAUGGUGGGGGUUGGAAAGUUUCGGCGGUUGGGGAUGGACUCGCGGCUUAUCAGCUUGUUGGUGGGGUAGUGGCUUACCAAGGCUUUGACGGGUAGCCGGCCUGAGAGGGUGACCGGCCACAUUGGGACUGAGAUACGGCCCAGACUCCUACGGGAGGCAGCAGUGGGGAAUAUUGCACAAUGGGCGGAAGCCUGAUGCAGCAGCGCCGCGUGCGGGAUGACGGCCUUCGGGUUGUAAACCGCUUUCGCCUGUGACGAAGCGUGAGUGACGGUAAUGGGUAAAGAAGCACCGGCUAACUACGUG
Molecule: ribosomal RNA, 468 nt
Filed under: uncultured bacterium
Lineage: Bacteria
Description: partial 16S ribosomal RNA
Rfam family: Bacterial small subunit ribosomal RNA
Source: RNAcentral